CACAGAGACAGGGGCUGGAGGAACAGAGGAGGUUGCCUGAUAGCUGAGGAAAGCAGUCUCUGACAACGAGUGUCUAAUCAUCUGAACAUCCUUGUGGUACCCUGCCUCACCCAGUGCUGGAGCUUAUCCUCCAGUGUGAGUUAAACAGAUUGACUCUGAAUGGAGUAUUCAUUACAACGGAAUUUGAUCUUAGAAGACACAGCUAUAUUUAUGUCUUUUGAGUGAUUAUGGCAGUAGCCCUCCAUAACAUGUUUAAUGAUAACUUAGAGCCUUAAAAGAUGCAACAAAGACAUUUUGUAACAUAAAAG
RNAcentral lists this long non-coding RNA (308 nucleotides) under Gallus gallus (chicken). Its description in RNAcentral is "long non-coding RNA NONGGAT011729". The record is from RNAcentral. Lineage: Eukaryota; Metazoa; Chordata; Aves; Galliformes; Phasianidae.